ACUCAAAUGAAUUGACGGGGACCCGCACAAGCAGCGGAGCAUGUGGUUUAAUUCGAAGCAACGCGAAGAACCUUACCAGGGCUUGACAUCCCUCUGACCGGUAUAGAGAUAUACCCUUUUCUUCGGAAACAGAGGAGACAGGUGGUGCAUGGUUGUCGUCAGCUCGUGUCGUGAGAUGUUGGGUUAAGUCCCGCAACGAGCGCAACCCUUGUCUUUAGUUGCUAACAGUAUAGCUGAGCACUCUAGAGAGACUGCCGGUGAUAAACCGGAGGAAGGUGGGGAUGACGUCAAAUCAUCAUGCCCUUUAUGUCCUGGGCUACACACGUGCUACAAUGGUCGGUACAAUGGGCAGCAACCUAGCGAUAGAUAGCCAAUCCCAUAAAGCCGAUCCCAGUUCGGAUUGCAGGCUGCAACUCGCCUGCAUGAAGCCGGAGUUGCUAGUAAUCGUGGAUCAGAAUGCCACGGUGAAUGCGUUCCCGGGUCUUGUACACACCGCCCGU
This 500-nucleotide ribosomal RNA is filed under the name uncultured bacterium. Its description in RNAcentral is "bacterial SSU rRNA". It matches the Rfam family "Bacterial small subunit ribosomal RNA", at positions 899 to 1397 of the family's 1533-position model. The record is from RNAcentral.